GACCAACGCUGGCGGCGUGCAUAAAACAUGCAAGUCGAACGGCCCGCAAGGGCAGUGGCAGACGGCUGAGUAACGCGUAGGAACCUGCCCGCGAGUGGGGGACAACCUCCCGAAAGGGGGGCUAAUACCGCAUACGGUGGCGCGGAAGCGUCAAGAAAGCCUUUGGGUGCUCGCGGAGGGGCCUGCGUCCGAUUAGCUCGUUGGUGGGGUAACGGCCUACCAAGGCGAUGAUCGGUAGCUGGUCUGAGAGGAUGAUCAGCCAGACUGGGACUGGGAGACGGCCCAGACUCCUACGGGAGGCAGCAGUUAGGAAUUUUGGGCAAUGGCCGCAAGGCUGACCCAGCAACGCCGCGUGGGGGACGAAGGCUUUCGGGCUGUAAACCCCUUUUCCCAGGGACGAUGAUGACGGUACCUGGGGAAUAAGCCCCGGCUAACUACGUGCCAGCCGCCGCCGUAAC
Molecule: ribosomal RNA, 458 nt
Filed under: uncultured bacterium
Lineage: Bacteria
Description: bacterial SSU rRNA
Rfam family: Bacterial small subunit ribosomal RNA
Source: RNAcentral